CGGGGUGUGGCGCAGCCCGGCUAGCGCAUCUGGUUUGGGACCAGAGGGUCGUAGGUUCGAAUCCUAUCACCCCGAC
This 76-nucleotide transfer RNA is filed under the name bioreactor metagenome. RNAcentral's name for it is "tRNA-Pro". It matches the Rfam family "tRNA". From Rfam's summary of the family: Transfer RNA (tRNA) molecules are approximately 80 nucleotides in length. Their secondary structure includes four short double-helical elements and three loops (D, anti-codon, and T loops). The record is from RNAcentral.